This 414-nucleotide ribosomal RNA is filed under the name uncultured bacterium. RNAcentral's name for it is "bacterial SSU rRNA". It matches the Rfam family "Bacterial small subunit ribosomal RNA", at positions 29 to 444 of the family's 1533-position model. The record is from RNAcentral.
AUUAAACGCUGGCGGCAUGCCUUACACAUGCAAGUCGAACGGCAGCACGGGGGCAACCCUGGUGGCGAGUGGCGGACGGGUGAGUAACACAUCGGAACGUGCCCUGGAGUGGGGGAUAACGCAGCGAAAGCUACGCUAAUACCGCAUAUUCUGUGAGCAGGAAAGCAGGGGAUCGCAAGACCUUGCGCUUUGGGAGCGGCCGAUGUCGGAUUAGCUAGUUGGUGGGGUAAAGGCUUACCAAGGCGACGAUCCGUAGCGGGUCUGAGAGGAUGAUCCGCCACACUGGGACUGAGACACGGCCCAGACUCCUACGGGAGGCAGCAGUGGGGAAUUUUGGACAAUGGGCGAAAGCCUGAUCCAGCAAUGCCGCGUGUGUGAAGAAGGCCUGAGGGUUGUAAAGCACUUUCAAUCGUG